This 171-nucleotide ribosomal RNA is filed under the name uncultured bacterium. Its description in RNAcentral is "partial 16S ribosomal RNA". It matches the Rfam family "Bacterial small subunit ribosomal RNA", at positions 355 to 518 of the family's 1533-position model. The record is from RNAcentral.
UAGGGAAACUUCCGCAAUGGACGCAAGUCUGACGGAGCAACGCCGCGUGAGUGAGGAAGGUCUUCGGAUCGUAAAGCUCUGUUGCCAAGGAAGAACGCUUGGAGGAGUAACUGCCUUCAAGGUGACGGUACUUGAGAAGAAAGCCCCGGCUAACUACGUGCCAGCAGCCGC